GGGCGAAUGGUCUAGUGGUAUGAUUCUUCCUUAGCAUGGAAGAGGUCCAGGGUUCAAUUCCCUGUUCGUCCA
Molecule: non-coding RNA, 72 nt
Organism: Emericellopsis atlantica
Lineage: Eukaryota; Fungi; Ascomycota; Sordariomycetes; Hypocreales; Bionectriaceae
Source: the annotation of a RefSeq genome assembly